UAAAGGUGCAUCAGGGAAUGCUGCACUCUCAGGGCCUUGUCCAGGGCUCUGUAGUUAUAUUUGAAUAGGUCUCUAUAUAGUGCUGGAAUCUCUUGAAGGACUCCUGACGCUGCAGAGUGGAGUCCUGCAGUUGCUGUGAUGAUGUUGUGUCUUUGACAUCACUGGUGCUCUGAUCCAAGCUGCUCUGAGUGCUGAGAUAAUUGUGUUUGCAUCACUGAGCAGCUGCUGUCAGGUGUCUGCAUCAGCUUUAGCAUGGGUUUGCCUCUGAAUAUUUUCAGCUGUUCCUCGAGCUGCUGCGCUUCCUGUUGAAGCUUGGUCUCUCGUUCUCACUCAGCCUGCUGCUGCACAUAUAAACGUUCACAAGACAUCAACUGGGCUGUUGCACCUCCCAGUAUCUUCUCUGCGGGUGAGGAGAUAUCAGGUGGCACUCGUGGCAUUGGCUUCAAUAGACCUCAGAAAGUGAGUCCACCUGGACCAACCAGUAUCCUUGAGCCACAGUCAUUUCAGCAGCAACAAGCAAGGAAUGACAACUGGCAUGACGUUCACUACAUCAGAUACCACGUCUCCAAUAACCCCGGUCCUGCACAGAAGACUGAGACCUUUGCAGUCCCCCAGAGCUUUGAGGACCCCAGGCCACCUGUGAUGGCUCCCUAUGGACAAGGUGGUGCAACAGGUGGCGUAUCUGCUCCUUCUCAUGGCAGCUUCAUGCAGCACUGGCAGCGGUAUGAAGUACCAAUUUAUAGCCAAACUGGUGGAUACAACCUGAGCAAGGGCCAUGGGUACUAAGUGGUGGAUCUCAUCAGCAUGAGCAAAGCUCUCUGAAUUCAAUAAAGAUCUUGUCGAAUA
Long non-coding RNA from Thunnus maccoyii (southern bluefin tuna), 846 nucleotides. RefSeq lists it as uncharacterized. NCBI's taxonomy places the organism in Eukaryota, Metazoa, Chordata, Actinopteri, Scombriformes, Scombridae. The transcript is spliced from 3 exons. The record is from RefSeq and is a predicted model, not a curated record.